CGAUGAGUGCUAAGUGUUGGAGGGUUUCCGCCCUUCAGUGCUGCAGCUAACGCAUUAAGCACUCCGCCUGGGGAGUACGACCGCAAGGUUGAAACUCAAAGGAAUUGACGGGGGCCCGCACAAGCGGUGGAGCAUGUGGUUUAAUUCGAAGCAACGCGAAGAACCUUACCAGGUCUUGACAUCCUUUGACCACUCUAGAGAUAGAGCUUCCCCUUCGGGGGCAAAGUGACAGGUGGUGCAUGGUUGUCGUCAGCUCGUGUCGUGAGAUGUUGGGUUAAGUCCCGCAACGAGCGCAACCCUUAUUGUUAGUUGCCAUCAUUCAGUUGGGCACUCUAGCAAGACUGCCGGUGACAAACCGGAGGAAGGUGGGGAUGACGUCAAAUCAUCAUGCCCCUUAUGACCUGGGCUACACACGUGCUACAAUGGGAAGUACAACGAGUUGCGAAGUCGCGAGGCUAAGCUAAUCUCUUAAAGCUUCUCUCAGUUCGGAUUGCAGGCUGCAACUCGCCUGCAUGAAGCCGGAAUCGCUAGUAAUCGCGGAUCAGCACGCCGCGGUGAAUACGUUCCCGGGCCUUGUACACACCGCCCGUCACACCACGAGAGUUUGUAACACCCGAAGUCGGUGAGGUAACCUUUUGGAGCCAGCCGC
This 649-nucleotide ribosomal RNA is filed under the name Enterococcus faecium. RNAcentral describes it as "bacterial SSU rRNA". It matches the Rfam family "Bacterial small subunit ribosomal RNA", at positions 807 to 1456 of the family's 1533-position model. Lineage: Bacteria; Bacillati; Bacillota; Bacilli; Lactobacillales; Enterococcaceae. The record is from RNAcentral.